RNAcentral lists this ribosomal RNA (253 nucleotides) under uncultured bacterium. RNAcentral's name for it is "partial 16S ribosomal RNA". It matches the Rfam family "Bacterial small subunit ribosomal RNA", at positions 524 to 776 of the family's 1533-position model. The record is from RNAcentral.
UACGAAGGGGGCUAGCGUUGUUCGGAAUCACUGGGCGUAAAGGGCGCGUAGGCGGCUUUAUAAGUCGGGGGUGAAAGCCUGUGGCUCAACCACAGAAUUGCCUUCGAUACUGUCGGGCUAGAGUCCGGAAGAGGCGAGUGGAAUUCCUGGUGUAGCGGUGGAAUGCGCAGAUAUCAGGAGGAACACCGAUGGCGAAGGCAGCUCGCUGGGACGGUACUGACGCUGAGGCGCGAAAGCGUGGGGAGCAAACAGG